Molecule: ribosomal RNA, 402 nt
Filed under: uncultured bacterium
Lineage: Bacteria
Description: bacterial SSU rRNA
Rfam family: Bacterial small subunit ribosomal RNA
Source: RNAcentral
UGGGGAAUCUUGCGCAAUGGGGGCAACCCUGAUGCAGCGACGCCGCGUGAGCGAUGAAGCCCUUCGGGGCGUAAAGCUCUUUCGACCGGAACGAUAAUGACGGUACCGGGAGAAGAAGCUGCGGCUAACUACGUGCCAGCAGCCGCGGUAAUACGUAGGCAGCAAGCGUUGUUCGGAGUUACUGGGCGUAAAGAGUGCGUAGGCGGUUUUCUAAGUUCGGUGUGAAAUCUCCCGGCUUAACUGGGAGGGUGCGCCGAAGACUGGGAAGCUGGAGUGUGGGAAAGGCAGGCGGAAUUCCUGGUGUAGCAGUGAAAUGCGUAGAUAUCAGGAGGAACACCGGCGGUGUAGACGGCUUGCUAGACCAUAACUGACGCUGAGGCACGAAAGCGUGGGUAGCAAACA